AGAGUUUGAUCCUGGCUCAGGAUGAACGCUAGCGACAGGCUUAACACAUGCAAGUCGAGGGGCAGCGGGGGCGGAAGCUUGCUUUCGCCCGCCGGCGACCGGCGCACGGGUGAGUAACACGUAUGCAACCUGGCCGCCACAGGGGGAUAACCCGCGGAAACGCGGCCUAAUACCCCGUGACGCCACCGGAGGGCAUCCUCCGGUGGCCAAAGGAGCGAUCCGGUGGCGGAUGGGCAUGCGGCGCAUUAGCUAGACGGCGGGGUGACGGCCCACCGUGGCGACGAUGCGUAGGGGUUCUGAGAGGAAGGCCCCCCACACUGGGACUGAGACACGGCCCAGACUCCUACGGGAGGCAGCAGUGAGGAAUAUUGGUCAAUGGGCGGAAGCCUGAACCAGCCAAGUCGCGUGAGGGAUUAAGGCCCUGCGGGUCGUAAACCUCUUUUGCCGGGGAGCAGUGGUCCGGACGCGUCCGGACCGGGAGAGUACCCGGAGAAAAAGCAUCGGCUAACUCCGUGCCAGCAGCCGCGGUAAUACGGAGGAUGCGAGCGUUAUCCGGAUUUAUUGGGUUUAAAGGGUGCGUAGGCGGGCAUUUAAGCCGGCGGUCAAAUGUCGGGGCUCAACCCCGGCCUGCCGUCGGAACUGGGUGCCUUGAGUGGGCGAGAAGUAUGCGGAAUGCGUGGUGUAGCGGUGAAAUGCAUAGAUAUCACGCAGAACCCCGAUUGCGAAGGCAGCAUACCGGCGCCCUACUGACGCUGAGGCACGAAAGUGCGGGUAUCGAACAGGAUUAGAUACCCUGGUAGUCCGCACAGUAAACGAUGGAUGCUAUCUGUCCGGGCCGAAUGAGGCCUGGGUGGCACAGCGAAAGCGUUAAGCAUCCCACCUGGGGAGUACGCCGGCAACGGUGAAACUCAAAGGAAUUGACGGGGGCCCGCACAAGCGGAGGAACAUGUGGUUUAAUUCGAUGAUACGCGAGGAACCUUACCCGGGCUCAAACGGGAGAUGACGCGGGCAGAGACGCCUGUUUUUUAGGACAUCUUCCGAGGUGCUGCAUGGUUGUCGUCAGCUCGUGCCGUGAGGUGUCGGCUUAAGUGCCAUAACGAGCGCAACCCCUGCCGACAGUUGCUAACGCGUAGCGGCGAGGACUCUGUCGGGACUGCCGGCGCAAGCCGCGAGGAAGGCGGGGAUGACGUCAAAUCAGCACGGCCCUUACGUCCGGGGCGACACACGUGUUACAAUGGGGGGUACAGCGGGAAGCCAGGCGGCGACGCCGAGCGGAACCCGAAAGCCCCUCUCAGUUCGGAUCGGAGUCUGCAACCCGACUCCGUGAAGCUGGAUUCGCUAGUAAUCGCGCAUCAGCCAUGGCGCGGUGAAUACGUUCCCGGGCCUUGUACACACCGCCCGUCAAG
This 1406-nucleotide ribosomal RNA is filed under the name uncultured bacterium. RNAcentral describes it as "bacterial SSU rRNA". It matches the Rfam family "Bacterial small subunit ribosomal RNA". The record is from RNAcentral.